Molecule: transfer RNA, 69 nt
Filed under: Ictidomys tridecemlineatus (thirteen-lined ground squirrel)
Lineage: Eukaryota; Metazoa; Chordata; Mammalia; Rodentia; Sciuridae
Description: Spermophilus tridecemlineatus (thirteen-lined ground squirrel) tRNA
Rfam family: tRNA
About the family: Transfer RNA (tRNA) molecules are approximately 80 nucleotides in length.
Source: Rfam by way of RNAcentral
GGGGUUGUGGCUCAGUGGCAGAGCGCUUGCCUCACAGGUGUGAGGCACUGGGUUCAAUUCUCAGCACCA